This 2925-nucleotide ribosomal RNA is filed under the name Escherichia coli. Its description in RNAcentral is "bacterial LSU rRNA". It matches the Rfam family "Bacterial large subunit ribosomal RNA". The record is from RNAcentral. Lineage: Bacteria; Pseudomonadati; Pseudomonadota; Gammaproteobacteria; Enterobacterales; Enterobacteriaceae.
GGGUUGUGAGGUUAAGCGACUAAGCGUACACGGUGGAUGCCCUGGCAGUCAGAGGCGAUGAAGGACGUGCUAAUCUGCGAUAAGCGUCGGUGAGGUGAUAUGAACCGUUAUAACCGGCGAUUUCCGAAUGGGGAAACCCAGUGUGUUUCGACACACUAUCAUUAACUGAAUCCAUAGGUUAAUGAGGCGAACCGGGGGAACUGAAACAUCUAAGUACCCCGAGGAAAAGAAAUCAACCGAGAUUCCCCCAGUAGCGGCGAGCGAACGGGGAGGAGCCCAGAGCCUGAAUCAGUGUGUGUGUUAGUGGAAGCGUCUGGAAAGGCGUGCGAUACAGGGUGACAGCCCCGUACACAAAAAUGCACAUAUUGUGAGCUCGAUGAGUAGGGCGGGACACGUGGUAUCCUGUCUGAAUAUGGGGGGACCAUCCUCCAAGGCUAAAUACUCCUGACUGACCGAUAGUGAACCAGUACCGUGAGGGAAAGGCGAAAAGAACCCCGGCGAGGGGAGUGAAAAAGAACCUGAAACCGUGUACGUACAAGCAGUGGGAGCCUCUUAAUGGGGUGACUGCGUACCUUUUGUAUAAUGGGUCAGCGACUUAUAUUCUGUAGCAAGGUUAACCGAAUAGGGGAGCCGAAGGGAAACCGAGUCUUAACUGGGCGUUAAGUUGCAGGGUAUAGACCCGAAACCCGGUGAUCUAGCCAUGGGCAGGUUGAAGGUUGGGUAACACUAACUGGAGGACCGAACCGACUAAUGUUGAAAAAUUAGCGGAUGACUUGUGGCUGGGGGUGAAAGGCCAAUCAAACCGGGAGAUAGCUGGUUCUCCCCGAAAGCUAUUUAGGUAGCGCCUCGUGAAUUCAUCUCCGGGGGUAGAGCACUGUUUCGGCAAGGGGGUCAUCCCGACUUACCAACCCGAUGCAAACUGCGAAUACCGGAGAAUGUUAUCACGGGAGACACACGGCGGGUGCUAACGUCCGUCGUGAAGAGGGAAACAACCCAGACCGCCAGCUAAGGUCCCAAAGUCAUGGUUAAGUGGGAAACGAUGUGGGAAGGCCCAGACAGCCAGGAUGUUGGCUUAGAAGCAGCCAUCAUUUAAAGAAAGCGUAAUAGCUCACUGGUCGAGUCGGCCUGCGCGGAAGAUGUAACGGGGCUAAACCAUGCACCGAAGCUGCGGCAGCGACACUAUGUGUUGUUGGGUAGGGGAGCGUUCUGUAAGCCUGUGAAGGUGUGCUGUGAGGCAUGCUGGAGGUAUCAGAAGUGCGAAUGCUGACAUAAGUAACGAUAAAGCGGGUGAAAAGCCCGCUCGCCGGAAGACCAAGGGUUCCUGUCCAACGUUAAUCGGGGCAGGGUGAGUCGACCCCUAAGGCGAGGCCGAAAGGCGUAGUCGAUGGGAAACAGGUUAAUAUUCCUGUACUUGGUGUUACUGCGAAGGGGGGACGGAGAAGGCUAUGUUGGCCGGGCGACGGUUGUCCCGGUUUAAGCGUGUAGGCUGGUUUUCCAGGCAAAUCCGGAAAACCAAGGCUGAGGCGUGAUGACGAGGCACUACGGUGCUGAAGCGACAAAUGCCCUGCUUCCAGGAAAAGCCUCUAAGCAUCAGGUAACAUCAAAUCGUACCCCAAACCGACACAGGUGGUCAGGUAGAGAAUACCAAGGCGCUUGAGAGAACUCGGGUGAAGGAACUAGGCAAAAUGGUGCCGUAACUUCGGGAGAAGGCACGCUGAUAUGUAGGUGAAGCGACUUGCUCGUGGAGCUGAAAUCAGUCGAAGAUACCAGCUGGCUGCAACUGUUUAUUAAAAACACAGCACUGUGCAAACACGAAAGUGGACGUAUACGGUGUGACGCCUGCCCGGUGCCGGAAGGUUAAUUGAUGGGGUUAGCGGUAACGCGAAGCUCUUGAUCGAAGCCCCGGUAAACGGCGGCCGUAACUAUAACGGUCCUAAGGUAGCGAAAUUCCUUGUCGGGUAAGUUCCGACCUGCACGAAUGGCGUAAUGAUGGCCAGGCUGUCUCCACCCGAGACUCAGUGAAAUUGAACUCGCUGUGAAGAUGCAGUGUACCCGCGGCAAGACGGAAAGACCCCGUGAACCUUUACUAUAGCUUGACACUGAACAUUGAGCCUUGAUGUGUAGGAUAGGUGGGAGGCUUUGAAGUGUGGACGCCAGUCUGCAUGGAGCCGGCCUUGAAAUACCACCCUUUAAUGUUUGAUGUUCUAACGUUGGCCCCUGAUCGGGGUUGCGGACAGUGUCUGGUGGGUAGUUUGACUGGGGCGGUCUCCUCCUAAAGAGUAACGGAGGAGCACGAAGGUUGGCUAAUCCUGGUCGGACAUCAGGAGGUUAGUGCAAUGGCAUAAGCCAGCUUGACUGCGAGCGUGACGGCGCGAGCAGGUGCGAAAGCAGGUCAUAGUGAUCCGGUGGUUCUGAAUGGAAGGGCCAUCGCUCAACGGAUAAAAGGUACUCCGGGGAUAACAGGCUGAUACCGCCCAAGAGUUCAUAUCGACGGCGGUGUUUGGCACCUCGAUGUCGGCUCAUCACAUCCUGGGGCUGAAGUAGGUCCCAAGGGUAUGGCUGUUCGCCAUUUAAAGUGGUACGCGAGCUGGGUUUAGAACGUCGUGAGACAGUUCGGUCCCUAUCUGCCGUGGGCGCUGGAGAACUGAGGGGGGCUGCUCCUAGUACGAGAGGACCGGAGUGGACGCAUCACUGGUGUUCGGGUUGUCAUGCCAAUGGCACUGCCCGGUAGCUAAAUGCGGAAGAGAUAAGUGCUGAAAGCAUCUAAGCACGAAACUUGCCCCGAGAUGAGUUCUCCCUGAGACUUAGAGUCUCCUGAAGGAACGUUGAAGACGACGACGUUGAUAGGCCGGGUGUGUAAGCGCAGCGAUGCGUUGAGCUAACCGGUACUAAUGAACCGUGAGGCUUAACCUUACAACGCCGAAG